RNAcentral lists this long non-coding RNA (565 nucleotides) under Phoenix dactylifera (date palm). RNAcentral describes it as "long non-coding RNA (PDAC_LNC011575)". Lineage: Eukaryota; Viridiplantae; Streptophyta; Magnoliopsida; Arecales; Arecaceae. The record is from RNAcentral.
AGGAAUAUUCGGAGAUUAGCUGAAUCUAACUCAAGAACAAAUUGACAGAUUUUCCCUCUAAAUACCAAAAUUUAAAAUUCAAAAACUUCAAUAUACUAAAAGAAAAUUCAGAGAAUCAAAACAUAGUAGAAUGCAUAUGUUGAGGGGGAGAAUCUGAAUUUUUAAGAAAGCCAAAUCAUUAAAUAUAUAUAAACCAAACAAUUGAUUGCAUGAUAUGAAGGCUUAUAUAAUUCCAAAUGAAAGGGGGAGCUUUAACUCCAAAAUUUAUUGUUUCACACCUUUCAAGCUUGGAUAAAUUAAAUAUCCAGAUAUUUGAAUUCAUUUAUGGAUUUUAUCUCCUUGUUUAUUAAGCAAUUCACUUUACAUAUACUCAAUGUUUUGUCAUCAUCAAAAAGGGGGAGAUUGUGGAGUGAUUGAUUGAAACCCUAUUUGAUUUUGAUGAGCUCAAAGCAUUUGAGUAUAUCUUAUAUUUUACUAAUGAAUUCAAUUGAGUGUUUCAGUGAAAAUCUUGUCUAAGUGUCUCUAGAUUUGGUUCAAGGUAUUUUGGAUAAGUUAAGAAGUCAGU